AUUGCUUUAGUAUAAUUUAUUACUAUAGCUUUUCGUGCUGUGUAUAGUGUUCAGCACUAAGCAAUU
This 66-nucleotide transfer RNA is filed under the name Rhinebothrium reydai. RNAcentral describes it as "tRNA-Glu". The record is from RNAcentral. Lineage: Eukaryota; Metazoa; Platyhelminthes; Cestoda; Rhinebothriidea; Rhinebothriidae.